Molecule: small RNA, 135 nt
Filed under: Allobosea sp. TND4EK4
Lineage: Bacteria; Pseudomonadati; Pseudomonadota; Alphaproteobacteria; Hyphomicrobiales; Alloboseaceae
Description: Bosea sp. TND4EK4 Alphaproteobacterial sRNA BjrC1505
Rfam family: Alphaproteobacterial sRNA BjrC1505
Source: Rfam by way of RNAcentral
GCAUUAAGACGGCAUUAAAGAUUCCAAAGUAUGAAUCAUCUCGUCCAGUUUCGCUGGAUCGAGUGGCUCCUGCCAUCUCUGUUUGACGCCUCCCUGUUUUGACUUUCACGAGCCGCCUCUGGCGGCUCUUUUUUU